This 554-nucleotide long non-coding RNA is filed under the name Calidris pugnax (ruff). Its description in RNAcentral is "lncRNA (ENSCPUG00000001198.1)". Lineage: Eukaryota; Metazoa; Chordata; Aves; Charadriiformes; Scolopacidae. The record is from RNAcentral.
AAAUGAAGAAGGAACAAACAUAUGCACUAACUGUCGUGGAAUAAAGGAAAGAAUGCAGCAAGGAGCUAAGCAAAAAUCUCUGCGAAUUGGAUGGAGGGCAAGAUUCAAGUUCUACUGAUAAUUAGAAACUAUCAAGGUUGCCUGGGUGCUGGUGCUGGGGCAUGGGAACUGCCUCCGCGCGUGCCAGCAUCCUCAGCCCUUCCUCGGGUGGCGUUUGGAGCCUGCCCUGCAGCAGCUUUCCCUGACACCUGGCUGCCAGCACUCAGGGCUCUGGGGCAGCCCUCAAGGGACCUGCAGAGGAUUGGGCAGAUUACAGGUGAUCGCAUUUACCAGGGCAAAAAAAAGGAAGCCAUCACUUGUUCAGAAGACUGUGUUCAAGAAACAAAUGAGAAUGGCAUCUGCGUUGUAGCUGAGAUAUGAAGUCAACACAACCUGAUACAAAAUGGUGAUGGUAAUGAAAGAACAGGUGACAUUUCAGUCUAACAUUUUAGUGACAUUUACUGGCAUUUUAGCUUAACAAUGUGUUGAAUAAAGAUUUUUCAGUCUUGGGUCCA